This 314-nucleotide ribosomal RNA is filed under the name uncultured eukaryote. RNAcentral describes it as "partial 18S ribosomal RNA". It matches the Rfam family "Eukaryotic small subunit ribosomal RNA", at positions 1470 to 1796 of the family's 1831-position model. The record is from RNAcentral.
CCCUUAGAUGUUCUGGGCCGCACGCGCGCUACACUGAUGCAUGCAACAAGUCUUUUCCUUGGCCGAGAGGCCUGGGCAAUCUUUGAAUAUGCAUCGUGAUGGGGAUAGACGAUUGCAAUUAUUCGUCUUCAACGAGGAAUUCCUAGUAAACGCAAGUCAUCAGCUUGCAUUGAUUACGUCCCUGCCCUUUGUACACACCGCCCGUCGCACCUACCGAUUGAAUGGUCCGGUGAAGCCUCCGGAUUGGCGCGCACCUCGGUGCCGCCGAGAAGUUGGCUAAACCUUACCAUUUAGAGGAAGGUGAAGUCGUAACA